AUCGCCUCUUGACUUUAUAAGAGGUCCAGCCUGCCCAGUGACCCAGUUUAACGGCCGCGGUAUCCUAACCGUGCGAAGGUAGCGUAAUCACUUGUUCUUUAAAUGAGGACUAGUAUGAACGGCAUCACGAAGGUUGCACUGUCUCCCCUUUUUAAUCAGUGAAACUAAUCUUCCCGUGAAGAAGCGGGAAUGCUUUAAUAAGACGAGAAGACCCUAUGGAGCUUUAAACGAUUUGACACUUGCUGUCAUUUUACCCCUCUCAGGAACCUCACAAAAACACAGCACUAUGAUCACAAGUUUUCGAUUGGGGUGAUCACGGAGUAAAGACUAACCUCCACGCCAAAUGAGCUCAGCCUCUGGGCUGUAAGCCACAACUUUACGCACUAAAAAAUUAAUGUCUCUUGACCCAAUAAUUUGAUCAACGAACCGAGUUACCCUAGGGAUAACAGCGCAAUCCACUUCAAGAGCCCCUAUCGACAAGUGGGUUUACGACCUCGAUGUUGGAUCAGGGUGUCCAAGUGGUGCAGCCGCUACUAAUGGUUCGUUUGUUCAACGAUUAAAACCCU
RNAcentral lists this ribosomal RNA (566 nucleotides) under Aplastodiscus perviridis (canebreak treefrog). Its description in RNAcentral is "partial 16S ribosomal RNA". It matches the Rfam family "Bacterial large subunit ribosomal RNA", at positions 1828 to 2597 of the family's 2925-position model. The record is from RNAcentral. Lineage: Eukaryota; Metazoa; Chordata; Amphibia; Anura; Hylidae.